UAGGGAAUCUUCCGCAAUGGACGCAAGUCUGACGGAGCAACGCCGCGUGAGUGAAGAAGGAUUUCGGUUCGUAAAACUCUGUUGUUAGAGAAGAACAGCGCAUAGAGUAACUGUUAUGCGUGUGACGGUAUCUAACCAGAAAGCCACGGCUAACUACGUGCCAGCAGCCGCGGUAAUACGUAGGUGGCAAGCGUUGUCCGGAUUUAUUGGGCGUAAAGCGAGCGCAGGCGGUCAAUUAAGUCUGAUGUGAAAGCCCCCGGCUCAACCGGGGAGGGUCAUUGGAAACUGGUUGACUUGAGUGCAGAAGAGGAGAGUGGAAUUCCAUGUGUAGCGGUGAAAUGCGUAGAUAUAUGGAGGAACACCAGUGGCGAAAGCGGCUCUCUGGUCUGUAACUGACGCUGAGGCUCGAAAGCGUGGGUAGCAAACAGG
RNAcentral lists this ribosomal RNA (429 nucleotides) under Bacteroidota bacterium. RNAcentral's name for it is "Bacteroidetes bacterium partial 16S ribosomal RNA". It matches the Rfam family "Bacterial small subunit ribosomal RNA", at positions 355 to 776 of the family's 1533-position model. Lineage: Bacteria; Pseudomonadati; Bacteroidota. The record is from RNAcentral.